AAGGCUGAUGGCGACCGGCGCACGGGUGAGUAACACGUAUCCAACCUGCCGUCUACUCUUGGACAGCCUUCUGAAAGGAAGAUUAAUACAAGAUGGCAUCAUGAGUCCGCAUGUUCACAUGAUUAAAGGUAUUCCGGUAGACGAUGGGGAUGCGUUCCAUUAGAUAGUAGGCGGGGUAACGGCCCACCUAGUCUUCGAUGGAUAGGGGUUCUGAGAGGAAGGUCCCCCACAUUGGAACUGAGACACGGUCCAAACUCCUACGGGAGGCAGCAGUGAGGAAUAUUGGUCAAUGGGCGCAGGCCUGAACCAGCCAGGUAGCGUGAAGGAUGACUGCCCUAUGGGUUGUAAACUUCUUUUAUAAAGGAAUAAAGUCGGGUAUGGAUACCCGUUUGCAUGUACUUUAUGAAUAAGGAUCGGCUAACUCCGUGCCAGCAGCCGCGGUAAUACGGAGGAUCCGAGCGUUAUCCGGAUUUAUUGGGUUUAAAGGGAGCGUAGAUGGAUGUUUAAGUCAGUUGUGAAAGUUUGCGGCUCAACCGUAAAAUUGCAGUUGAUACUGGAUAUCUUGAGUGCAGUUGAGGCAGGCGGAAUUCGUGGUGUAGCGGUGAAAUGCUUAGAUAUCACGAAGAACUCCGAUUGCGAAGGCA
RNAcentral lists this ribosomal RNA (644 nucleotides) under uncultured Bacteroidales bacterium. Its description in RNAcentral is "bacterial SSU rRNA". It matches the Rfam family "Bacterial small subunit ribosomal RNA", at positions 81 to 723 of the family's 1533-position model. The record is from RNAcentral. Lineage: Bacteria; Pseudomonadati; Bacteroidota; Bacteroidia; Bacteroidales.